This 410-nucleotide ribosomal RNA is filed under the name uncultured bacterium. RNAcentral describes it as "bacterial SSU rRNA". It matches the Rfam family "Bacterial small subunit ribosomal RNA", at positions 28 to 422 of the family's 1533-position model. The record is from RNAcentral.
AGCGAACGCUGGCGGCGUACUUAACACAUGCAAGUCGAACGGGGAUCAUCGGGUUAGCAAUAGCUCGGUGGUCCUAGUGGCGCACGGGUGAGUAACACGUGGGUAACCUGCCCUGGAGACCGGGAUACCCCCUCGAAAGGGGGGCUAAUACCGGAUACGUUCCCUGGAUCGAGAGGUCUGGGGAGGAAAGGUGGCGAAAGCUGCCGCUCUUGGAGGGGCUCGCGGCCUAUCAGCUAGUGGCGGGGUAACGGCCCACCAAGGCUAUGACGGGUAGCUGGUCUGAGAGGACGACCAGCCACACGGGGACUGAGACACGGCCCCGACUCCUACGGGAGGCAGCAGUGGGGAAUUUUCCGCAAUGGGCGAAAGCCUGACGGAGUGACGCCGCGUGUGGGACGAAGGCCUUCGGU